UGCUCAACCAAAAAGAUAUAAAAGAUAAUAAUCUCUAAAUUUUGAAUUCUCACUUUAGAGGGUAAAGUGUGAUCUCUCACCAUUUAUUUUAUAGGUGGGACCAAGAAUAAAUAUGAGAGAGAAACUAUUUAAGGGUAAAAGAUCAUACUUUACCUUCUAAAGUGAAAUUCAAAAUUUAGAGAAUCCAAAUCCAAAGAAAAAAUAUGGUUAAAACGACACAAUAAAACUUAUAAAACUAAAUAAAGUGGGUUUCCCUAUAAUAUCUUAUUCCACAGGAGUAGAAAACUAUCAAUGAAAUGCCUUCUGAGAAUCACAAUAAUUUGCAAGUUUUCAUCUUUAAUAGCAAACACUCUUGCAGUGUUAAUGAAUUUCUAGGUGUUGUGGAGCAUUACCUCGAUGUUGAGGUUUCCUUUUAUGAUCCGCAUCAUAAGCCCAUCAAAAUAAAUACUACAGGUUGGCAGGCUCAUCGAUGUAGCCAACAGACAAGCCGAGGUGGCCAAGUGAUAGGGAGAAGAGGUUGAAUACGGCACCUUAUAGCCUCAAUAAUGGGGCGCAAGGAGAGGGUGGUGAGUUUGCAACUAAAAAAUGUUUGGUACAUUUGAUAUAAAAUUUUAUUUUUAAUCAAACUUUAAGGAGUGAUAACUUGGAGUUCGAAUUCUC
This 660-nucleotide long non-coding RNA is filed under the name Arachis ipaensis. Its description in RNAcentral is "long non-coding RNA (AIPA_LNC001122)". The record is from RNAcentral. Lineage: Eukaryota; Viridiplantae; Streptophyta; Magnoliopsida; Fabales; Fabaceae.